RNAcentral lists this ribosomal RNA (492 nucleotides) under uncultured bacterium. Its description in RNAcentral is "partial 16S ribosomal RNA". It matches the Rfam family "Bacterial small subunit ribosomal RNA", at positions 29 to 507 of the family's 1533-position model. The record is from RNAcentral.
AGUGGACGCUGGCGGUAGGCCUAACACAUGCGAGUCGAACGGCAGCACAGUAAGAGCUUGCUCUUACGGGUGGCGAGUGGCGGACGGGUGAGGAAUACAUCGGAAUCUACUUUUUCGUGGGGGAUAACGUAGGGAAACUUACGCUAAUACCGCAUACGACCUACGGGUGAAAGCAGGGGAUCUUCGGACCUUGCGCGAUUGAAUGAGCCGAUGUCGGAUUAGCUAGUUGGCGGGGUAAAGGCCCACCAAGGCGACGAUCCGUAGCUGGUCUGAGAGGAUGAUCCGCCACACUGGAACUGAGACACGGUCCAGACUCCUACGGGAGGCAGCAGUGGGGAAUAUUGGACAAUGGGCGCAAGCCUGAUCCAGCCAUACCGCGUGGGUGAAGAAGGCCUUCGGGUUGUAAAGCCCUUUUGUUGGGAAAGAAAAGCAGCAGGUUAAUACCCCGCUGUUCUGACGGUACCCAAAGAAUAAGCACCGGCUAACUUCGUG